RNAcentral lists this ribosomal RNA (520 nucleotides) under uncultured fungus. RNAcentral's name for it is "SSU rRNA". It matches the Rfam family "Eukaryotic small subunit ribosomal RNA", at positions 20 to 542 of the family's 1831-position model. Lineage: Eukaryota; Fungi. The record is from RNAcentral.
GUAGUCAUAUGCUUGUCUCAAAGAUUAAGCCAUGCAUGUCUAAGUAUAAGCAACUUGUACUGUGAAACUGCGAAUGGCUCAUUAAAUCAGUUAUCGUUUAUUUGAUAGUACCUUACUACAUGGAUACCUGUGGUAAUUCUAGAGCUAAUACAUGCUAAAAACCCCGACUUCAGGAAGGGGUGUAUUUAUUAGAUAAAAAACCAACGCCCUUCGGGGCUCCUUGGUGAAUCAUAAUAACUUAACGAAUCGCAUGGCCUUGCGCCGGCGAUGGUUCAUUCAAAUUUCUGCCCUAUCAACUUUCGAUGGUAGGAUAGUGGCCUACCAUGGUGGCAACGGGUAACGGGGAAUUAGGGUUCGAUUCCGGAGAGGGAGCCUGAGAAACGGCUACCACAUCCAAGGAAGGCAGCAGGCGCGCAAAUUACCCAAUCCCGAUACGGGGAGGUAGUGACAAUAAAUACUGAUACNGGGCUCUUUUGGGUCUCGUAAUUGGAAUGAGAACAAUUUAAAUCCCUUAACGAGG